AAUCAACGCUGGCGGCGCGCUUAACACAUGCAAGUCGCACGAGAAAGUGGAGCAAUCCAUGAGUACAGUGGCGUACGGGUGAGUAACACGUGGGUAAUCUACCUCUUAGUGGGGAAUAACUCUGGGAAACCGGAGCUAAUACCGCAUAAGCCUGGAAAGGGAAAGGCAGCAAUGCGCUGAGAGAGGAGCCCGCGGCCGAUUAGCUAGUUGGUAGGGUAAAGACCUACCAAGGCAAUGAUCGGUAGCCGGCCUGAGAGGGCACACGGCCACACUGGCACUGAAACACGGGCCAGACUCCUACGGGAGGCAGCA
RNAcentral lists this ribosomal RNA (312 nucleotides) under uncultured bacterium. Its description in RNAcentral is "bacterial SSU rRNA". It matches the Rfam family "Bacterial small subunit ribosomal RNA", at positions 32 to 353 of the family's 1533-position model. The record is from RNAcentral.